AUCUCUAAUAUUCUUUGGUCUAAAACUGGCAGCAGCUGGUGAUCCAGAGGUCUCAUGGCAGAAUGAAGGAAUUUACCAAAGCCAAGCCCUUGGACACUGGGCCCAUCUGUUUCUUUGAUCAGUUGAAACCUGAAUGGAAAGAUGGGAAAAGAUAACCUGUGAAGAAAGUUAUCCUACCCAAAAUGCACCUCAAGAGCUAAGUGUUGGAUCUUUCAACAUCCUUACUCAAAAUGGGAAAUUCUGAAGUGGAAGACAGUCCCCAGUAUAGCUGUGAAGAGACUACAAGUAGCCAUAAUUCAAAUAAAAAUAGAAGAAGCAAAGCAAAAAAAAAAGAGGGCGUCAACAAACAACUUAUCCGGUGCCACUAUGAGGACCUGGAAGGCGUGGAGGAGAGCAGGGAUCAGCAGUGCUCACAGAGUUUCCGGCUGGAGCUGCUGGAGAAGAUGCCUCAGAUGCCAAUUGUCAGAAAGGCUGACCCCAACAUGAAAAAAUUCCAUUAAGCUCUGGUGGAUGGCUCCUCUCUGACCUAACGAACAGUAGCAGUGAUGUUUAAUCAGGACAGAGGCCUGGUGAUCAGCAGAAAAGGAAACAUCAUAAGGGAAUGGACCUGGCCUUCAAAGGGAAUACUUGAUAAUCCAGAGGAAAUUUGGGAUUAAUUCAAGCACUUCUGAGCUGCCAGUCUGAGGUUCCUCUUCCCAUUGAAAGCAAGGAUACCUGGUUUGCUUCCCAGCUGGUUUGUCCCAUGGUCCUAAGGAGAACACUGUGCAGGGACACAGGACACACGUACCAGUGUAGCUCUCACAGCAUCCUGAAAGUGACAGACCUGGAGUAUGAUCACCUUAGAAGCAGCCAGAUGUCCUCUGCGGACCAGGUCAUCAUAGUCUAUGUCUUCUCCUUCAAGCAAAAGGACAAGACUAUCAAAGAAGUGGCCAAAGUAUAUAGGGAGCUGUAUACUUUUUUUUUUUUUUCCUGCUGGCUUCUCAACACCCUUUUUUUUCUUUUUUUUUAACUGAGAUAUGACAUUCAUAUAAUAAAGAUCACAAAUCUUAAGGG
RNAcentral lists this small RNA (1053 nucleotides) under Pongo abelii (Sumatran orangutan). Its description in RNAcentral is "processed transcript". The record is from RNAcentral. Lineage: Eukaryota; Metazoa; Chordata; Mammalia; Primates; Hominidae.